AGUGAACGCUGGCGGCAGGCCUAACACAUGCAAGUCGAACGGCAGCACAGGAAAGCUUGCUCUCUGGGUGGCGAGUGGCGGACGGGUGAGGAAUACAUCGGAAUCUACUCUGUCGUGGGGGAUAACGUAGGGAAACUUACGCUAAUACCGCAUACGACCUACGGGUGAAAGCAGGGGACCUUCGGGCCUUGCGCGAUUGAAUGAGCCGAUGUCGGAUUAGCUAGUUGGCGGGGUAAAGGCCCACCAAGGCGACGAUCCGUAGCUGGUCUGAGAGGAUGAUCAGCCACACUGGAACUGAGACACGGUCCAGACUCCUACGGGAGGCAGCAGUGGGGAAUAUUGGACAAUGGGCGCAAGCCUGAUCCAGCCAUACCGCGUGGGUGAAGAAGGCCUUCGGGUUGUAAAGCACUUUUGUUGGGAAAGAAAUCCAGCUGGCUAAUACCCGGUUGGGAUGACGGUACCCAAAGAAUAAGCACCGGCUAACUUCGUGCCAGCAGCCGCGGUAA
Molecule: ribosomal RNA, 506 nt
Filed under: uncultured bacterium
Lineage: Bacteria
Description: partial 16S ribosomal RNA
Rfam family: Bacterial small subunit ribosomal RNA
Source: RNAcentral